CCUACGGGAUGCACCAGUGGGGAAUAUUGCACAAUGGGCGCAAGCCUGAUGCAGCCAUGCCGCGUGUAUGAAGAAGGCCUUCGGGUUGUAAAGUACUUUCAGCGGGGAGGAAGGUGUUGUGGUUAAUAACCGCAGCAAUUGACGUUACCCGCAGAAGAAGCACCGGCUAGCUCCGUGCCAGCAGCCCCGGUAAUACGGAGGGUGCAAGCGUUAAUCGGAAUUACUGGGCGUAAAGCGCACGCAGUCGGUCUGUCAAGUCGGAUGUGAAAUCCCCGGGCUCAACCUGGGAACUGCAUUCGAAACUGGCAGGCUAGAGUCUUGUAGAGGGGGGUAGAAUUCCAGGUGUAGCGGUGAAAUGCGUAGAGAUUUGGAGGGAUACCGGUGGCGAAGGCGGCCCCCUGGACAAAGACUGACGCUCAGGUGCGAAAGCGUGGGGAGCAAACAGGAUUAGAUACCCCUGUAGUC
RNAcentral lists this ribosomal RNA (465 nucleotides) under uncultured bacterium. Its description in RNAcentral is "bacterial SSU rRNA". It matches the Rfam family "Bacterial small subunit ribosomal RNA", at positions 338 to 795 of the family's 1533-position model. The record is from RNAcentral.